UAGUUUGGUAGCUAAACGAAAUCGGAGA
Molecule: small RNA, 28 nt
Filed under: Bombyx mori (domestic silkworm)
Lineage: Eukaryota; Metazoa; Arthropoda; Insecta; Lepidoptera; Bombycidae
Description: ovarian small RNA-23230
Source: RNAcentral